AACGAACGCUGGCGGCAUGCCUAACACAUGCAAGUCGAACGAGACCUUCGGGUCUAGUGGCGCACGGGUGCGUAACGCGUGGGAACCUGCCCUCAGGUUCGGAAUAACUCCCCGAAAGGGGUGCUAAUACCGGAUAAUGUCUUCGGACCAAAGAUUUAUCGCCUUUGGAUGGGCCCGCGUUGGAUUAGCUAGUUGGUAGGGUAAAAGCCUACCAAGGCGACGAUCCAUAGCUGGUCUGAGAGGAUGAUCAGCCACACUGGGACUGAGACACGGCCCAGACUCCUACGGGAGGCAGCAGUGGGGAAUAUUGGACAAUGGGCGAAAGCCUGAUCCAGCAAUGCCGCGUGAGUGAUGAAGGCCUUAGGGUUGUAAAGCUCUUUUACCCGGGAUGAUAAUGACAGUACCGGGAGAAUAAGCACCGGCUAACUCCGUG
RNAcentral lists this ribosomal RNA (433 nucleotides) under uncultured bacterium. RNAcentral describes it as "partial 16S ribosomal RNA". It matches the Rfam family "Bacterial small subunit ribosomal RNA", at positions 29 to 507 of the family's 1533-position model. The record is from RNAcentral.